UGUGUGUGUGUGGGGGGGGGGUUGCAGAUAGUGACUGAGUCAGACUGGGAUACUCCUGGCAGCUCCUCAUGGAUCCAAGCAGCAACAGUGACCAAGGAGCAGGUCGGCGGGAGGAGCGUCGCCUGCAGCCCGUCCCAGCAGCGCUGUGUCCAGUGUGAUGUCUGUUCUGACGCGGAGCCGCGAGCUGCCACCAUUCAGCGUGGAGCCCGAGUUUGGGACCAUAGAGCCCGGUUCCACGCAGGACGUCAGUGUUCGAUUUUCCCCCCUGGAGGCGGCCCAGCUUCAGGGCAGGAUGGUCUGCAGGUUAAUACAAUACAGCCAUCUUGCUGAAUCGAUCUACCACGGUGAGGAUGGCCGUGUAGCCGUCCGAUGGGGGUAGACCGGUGACGAAGUCCAGGAAGAUGUGGGACCAGGGACGAUGUGGGACCGGCAGAGUUCGGAGGAGCCCUGCUGGCGCCUGAUGAGAAGGUUUGUGUUGGUUGCAUAGGACAGGCAUUAACAAACUCCUUGGUGUCCUCCUGCAGAGUUGACCACCUAAACCGCUGGAGGAUGACAUCACAUGUCCUUUGGAUUCCCUGGUGGCAGUCAUUUAAGAGCCUACAAGAACAUCAACAGCCCCUGAACCCCCUGCAGGCCGUCAGCACUUACUACACUGAGGGACAAGAAGCUCCUCCCCUGCCAGGGAACCUGAUGAAAUCUUUAAAGUUCACUUCCUUUUCACUUGAAAUGACCUCUUCAUGAUUGUUCUUGGUCAGUCCCCUGCUGAAAGUGAGGAAGAGGAGCCAGAGGCCACGACACGAGACAGUCAACACAGGGGAGUCCGAUGCUGAGAGAGGAGAUGAAGAGACAGUAUCCAGGGAGACAACAGCAGCCCAGAAGAAGAUUCCUCAGGACGGUGUGAAAGCAGCAAAGAGGAGCCCCCAUAUUGAAAUCCAGACUUCUGUUCACCAGAUCUACCAGCAGCUGUCGGUCACACUGAGCACUGCAGGCCAACAAGCACCACAUAGGUAACACACAAGCCACCGCUGUGAACCCUGGGUGCUUUGGGAUCGUCCUUCCUCUCUACUUGUCCUUGACCUCAAUGGAAAAGGUCAUGAGGUCAAGGAAAGUUGUGAAGGACGAUUCAUAGGACUUAUGAAAAGAAAAUCUGACUCCACUGACACUAAACUACGUGGUCAUGUGACGGUGGAUGUUGUUGAUGGGUCUGUCGUGGUGAAACUACACAUUUCUGAAGAUGAACUACAAAAACCUCAG
Long non-coding RNA from Scophthalmus maximus (turbot), 1254 nucleotides. RefSeq lists it as uncharacterized. NCBI's taxonomy places the organism in Eukaryota, Metazoa, Chordata, Actinopteri, Pleuronectiformes, Scophthalmidae. The transcript has 6 exons. The record is from RefSeq and is a predicted model, not a curated record.